GGGGAAUUUUCCGCAAUGGGCGAAAGCCUGACGGAGCAAUACCGCGUGAGGGAGGAAGGCUCUUGGGUUGUAAACCUCUUUUCUCAGGGAAGAACAAAAUGACGGUACCUGAGGAAUAAGCAUCGGCUAACUCCGUGCCAGCAGCCGCGGUAAUACGGAGGAUGCAAGCGUUAUCCGGAAUGAUUGGGCGUAAAGCGUCCGCAGGUGGCAUUGCAAGUCUGCUGUUAAAGCUCAGGGCUUAACCCUGAAAAGGCAGUGGAAACUGAAAUGCUGGAGUGCGGUAGGGGUAGAGGGAAUUCCCGGUGUAGCGGUGAAAUGCGUAGAGAUCGGGAAGAACACCAGUGGCGAAAGCGCUCUACUAGGCCGCAACUGACACUCAUGGACGAAAGCUAGGGGAGCGAAUGGGAUUAGAUACCCCAGUAGUCCUAGCUGUAGACGAUGGAUACUAGGCGUUGAGAGUAUCGACCCUCUCAGUGUCGUAGCUAACGCGUUAAGUAUCCCGCCUGGGGAGUACGCGCGCAAGCGUGAAACUCAAAGGAAUUGACGGGGGCCCGCACAAGCGGUGGAGUAUGUGGUUUAAUUCGAUGCAACGCGAAGAACCUUACCAGGGCUUGACAUGUCCGGAACCCCAGGGAAACUUGGGGGUGCCUACGGGAGCCGGAACACAGGUGGUGCAUGGCUGUCGUCAGCUCGUGUCGUGAGAUGUUGGGUUAAGUCCCGCAACGAGCGCAACCCUCGUUUUUAGUUGCCAGCAUUCGGUUGGGCACUCUAAACAGACUGCCGGUGACAAACCGGAGGAAGGUGGGGAUGACGUCAAGUCAGCAUGCCCCUUACGUCCUGGGCUACACACGUACUACAAUGCUACGGACAAAGGGAAGCAAGCGUGCGAAUGCAAGCAAAUCCCAUAAACCGUGGCUCAGUUCAGAUUGCAGGCUGCAACUCGCCUGCAUGAAGGCGGAAUCGCUAGUAAUCGCAGGUCAGCAAUAGUGCGGUGAAUACGUUCCCGGGCCUUGUACACACCGCCCGU
This 1027-nucleotide ribosomal RNA is filed under the name uncultured Chroococcidiopsis sp. RNAcentral's name for it is "bacterial SSU rRNA". It matches the Rfam family "Bacterial small subunit ribosomal RNA", at positions 356 to 1397 of the family's 1533-position model. Lineage: Bacteria; Bacillati; Cyanobacteriota; Cyanophyceae; Chroococcidiopsidales; Chroococcidiopsidaceae. The record is from RNAcentral.